RNAcentral lists this ribosomal RNA (119 nucleotides) under Salmo salar (Atlantic salmon). The record is from RNAcentral. Lineage: Eukaryota; Metazoa; Chordata; Actinopteri; Salmoniformes; Salmonidae.
GCUCACGGCCAUACCAGCCUGGGUACGCCUGAUCUCGUCUGAUCUCGGAAGCUAAGCAGUGUCGGGCCUGGUUAGUACUUGGAUGGGAGACCGCCUUGGAAUACCAGGUGCUGUAAGCA